Molecule: ribosomal RNA, 460 nt
Filed under: uncultured bacterium
Lineage: Bacteria
Description: partial 16S ribosomal RNA
Rfam family: Bacterial small subunit ribosomal RNA
Source: RNAcentral
CCUACGGGAGGCUGCAGUGAGGAAUAUUCGUCAAUGGGCGGAAGCCUGAACCAGCCAAGUCGCGUGAGGGAAUAAGGCCCUACGGGUCGUAAACCUCUUUUGCCGGGGAGCAAAGGCGGGGACGUGUCCCGGCCCGGAGAGUACCCGGAGAAAAAGCAUCGGCUAACUCCGUGCCAGCAGCCGCGGUAAUACGGAGGAUGCGAGCGUGAUCCGGAUGUAUUGGGUUUAAAGGGGCCGUAGGUUGUUUUUUAAGUCAGCGGUAAAAUGUCGGGGCUAAACCCCGGCGGGCGGUUGAAACUGGCGUGCUCGAGUGGGAGAGAAGGAUGCGGAAGUCGUGGUGUAGCGGUGAAAUGCAUAGAUAUCACGAAGAACCCCGAUGGCGAAGGCAGCAUACCGGCUCCACACUGACGCUGAGGCACGAAAGCGUGGGUAUCGAACAGGAUUAGAUACCCUUGUAGUC